UAAGGAAUAUUGGUCAAUGGACGCAAGUCUGAACCAGCCAUGCCGCGUGAAGGAUGAAGGUCCUCUGGAUUGUAAACUUCUUUUAUCUGGGACGAAAACGGGAUUUUUAUCUCAAUUGACGGUACCAGAGGAAUAAGCACCGGCUAACUCCGUGCCAGCAGCCGCGGUAAUACGGAGGGUGCGAGCGUUAUCCGGAUUUACUGGGUUUAAAGGGUGCGUAGGUGGGCUUAUAAGUCAGUGGUGAAAUCUCCGAGCUUAACUUGGAAACUGCCGUUGAUACUAUAGGUCUUGAAUUAUCUGGAGGUAAGCGGAAUAUGUCAUGUAGCGGUGAAAUGCUUAGAGAUGACAUAGAACACCAAUUGCGAAGGCAGCUUACUACAUAUAAAUUGACGCUGAGGCACGAAAGCGUGGGGA
This 414-nucleotide ribosomal RNA is filed under the name uncultured bacterium. Its description in RNAcentral is "bacterial SSU rRNA". It matches the Rfam family "Bacterial small subunit ribosomal RNA", at positions 355 to 767 of the family's 1533-position model. The record is from RNAcentral.